UACAGAGGGUGCAAGCGUUAAUCGGAAUUACUGGGCGUAAAGCGUGUGUAGGUGGUUAGGUAAGUUAGAUGUGAAAUCCCUGGGCUCAACCUGGGAACUGCGUUUAAAACUGCUUGACUAGAGUACUGUAGAGGAUAGUGGAAUUUCCAGUGUAGCGGUGAAAUGCGUAGAUAUUGGAAGGAACACCAGUGGCGAAGGCGACUAUCUGGAUAGAUACUGACACUGAGACACGAAAGCGUGGGGAGCAAAC
This 250-nucleotide ribosomal RNA is filed under the name uncultured bacterium. RNAcentral's name for it is "partial 16S ribosomal RNA". It matches the Rfam family "Bacterial small subunit ribosomal RNA", at positions 524 to 773 of the family's 1533-position model. The record is from RNAcentral.